UUUGAUAUUUGCUUUUGAAUAUUCUGGAAUUUUACGACCCGGAUUUUCCAUCAUCUGGAGUCGUGAUGGCACCUACUAACGGAGCUAGGCUAGCCAAACUUUAAACAUUCUCUGAUAAUUUCUCAACAAUAUAAAUAUGCGGAAAGAAUUAAAUAAAAGCGGAAGACUUUAAGUUUGUAAAACUGAAAUCAAAAUGCGGAAGUUUAAAACAUAUCUCUAUCCAAGACCGGUGUCACAUUACUCACGGACGUCUAGAGAAUACUAAAUACAAGGUUCGAAUGAAGCCUAGAACUGUCUGCUACGGUACAAUGAUAACAAACUUGAUGAAAUAGAAAGGACUCCGGGCCUGCGGACGUCAACAAAGUUACCUCGAAUGUCCCUGGACUGGAAGCUCGCUCCCGAAAUGCUACUGCUACUCAAAUGCUGCUCCAACACCUAGAUCUGUGCAAAAAGAUGCACAGAGUGUAUCAUAAGCACAACCGACCCCAUGUGCUGGUAAGUGCUGGCCUAACCUCGGCGAAGUAGUGACGAGGACAGAGAGAACCUACCCAAAACAACCUGUGCAGAUAUAUACAUAUACAGAAGCAACGAAAGAACAGAGUGUAGCAUAAGCAUAACCGACCCCAUAUGCUGGUAAGUGCCAGGCCUAACCCCGGCGAGCUAGUAACGAGGCUAGGACUAAACUCCAAAUAAACCUGUGAAGUUCAAAUAUAUAUACAUACAACGGAUAAUAAUACAGGAAGUAACAACCAACAACGGGGAAGGGGAAACAUGUUAAGGGGGAUACCAACAGUUACAAGUAAGAGAAACCACAAUAAUGAUGAAGCAGCCAAGAAUUUACAGCAAUCAAGCAACAAACAUUCCAAACAAAACACACUUGAGACAACAACUGUUGCAGCGUGCAACCCGAUUCUGAAAUAUCAGUGUUGCGGCGUGCAACCCGAUUCAUAUAAUUUAUCUCUGUUGCGGCGAGCAACCCAGCCUCUACCCCACGGCUAUUCUAAGCUGCCACAGCAUGUCACGCCCUAUAACUUCA
RNAcentral lists this long non-coding RNA (1036 nucleotides) under Nicotiana benthamiana. RNAcentral's name for it is "long non-coding RNA (NBEN_LNC027768)". The record is from RNAcentral. Lineage: Eukaryota; Viridiplantae; Streptophyta; Magnoliopsida; Solanales; Solanaceae.